CCAACCAGGGCCAGCUGGACAUCAUUAACUGUGUUACCUGUAAGUGUAGGUUGCUAAUCAGAUUUCACCUGAGAUGACAAUAGCUCAUAUACAUUUGUAUAGUUUUAUACAGUUAUUAGACUGGAUAACAUUUUCACACGUAUGUGCAUGAUAAUCAAGAGGAAAUGACCAUGUGUUUGACAUAAAGCAAAUUAAUAGAAUCAGCGGAAAGUGAGUGAUGUGAUCAGAAUAAAUUCCUUUGGCUUUAUUUCUCAUUUCUUUCCAUGUAGAGAAAAAAAUGGCCAUGAACCAAAAUCCAGGAAGCACAGAAUUAACAGCCUCUGUGGAACCUGGUGCUGAUGUCACCUACAGCUCCAUUCUCCUGCCAGAUCCACAGGUGUCCUCUAGAUGUUCUUCACACCGACCUGCUGUAACCCCAGCCAGCGAUGUGGUCUACAGCUCAGUCACCCCGAAGCACAGAGA
Non-coding RNA from Paramormyrops kingsleyae, 462 nucleotides. The record is from RefSeq and is a predicted model, not a curated record. NCBI's taxonomy places the organism in Eukaryota, Metazoa, Chordata, Actinopteri, Osteoglossiformes, Mormyridae.